This is a long non-coding RNA of Suricata suricatta (meerkat), 615 nucleotides long. RefSeq lists it as uncharacterized. The record is from RefSeq and is a predicted model, not a curated record. Lineage: Eukaryota; Metazoa; Chordata; Mammalia; Carnivora; Herpestidae. The transcript has 2 exons.
CACAUAUCUGGCUACAGAUCUCCCCAGAGAUAAAACCUUGUGGACAAAGAGAAAAAAACUCCUGCUGGAAAUCACAGUAUGAGAAGUUACUAGGUCAGACAUCAAAAGAAGAAUGCAGUCAAACCUCGGUGAGAAGGACCUUCCCAGGUACUGUUAACAACCAACACAACAGUAAGCCCCUGCCUCCCAAGUCAAAAGGCAUAAGUCGCUGGAAACCCCCGGGGAGCUGGCCUGAGCCUUCACACAGAGAAAUCUGAGGAACCAUUCCAGAACAGACAAGAGCAGGAAGUUGCACCUUCCACCCAAGACCAUUGGGCCCUCCCUGGUAACAGCAGGAAGUGUCGCCUUCCCUCAAGAUCCACUGGACAAGACCACCAGGGCCACCCACUGCGGUGCUUUAAUCUGCAUGCGCUUUUGCUCUUUUCCUUUGUUCUUUCGGCUCUGCCAAGUUAAGGUUUCAGUUGUUAACACUUCUUGUCUGUUGACCGUGAUACCUCCAAGGCCUUUAACACUGUUUGUUUAUUUGUUUGUUACCUUAGUCACUCCUCAUGAGUGACUAAGUGACAUGAGUAUGGGUCCAGGGCCAGGCUACAACAUGCAGUUAAUUAUGCUGUC